Molecule: non-coding RNA, 83 nt
Filed under: pig gut metagenome
Description: TPP riboswitch (THI element)
Rfam family: TPP riboswitch aptamer (THI element)
About the family: Vitamin B(1) in its active form thiamin pyrophosphate (TPP) is an essential coenzyme that is synthesised by coupling of pyrimidine and thiazole moieties in bacteria.
Source: RNAcentral
UUCGCUGGGGGAGCCUUCUGGCUGAGAAAUCCACAGGAUUGACCCUUAUUACCUGAUCCGGAUCAUGCCGGCGUAGGGAAGCA